RNAcentral lists this non-coding RNA (27 nucleotides) under Cricetulus griseus (Chinese hamster). Lineage: Eukaryota; Metazoa; Chordata; Mammalia; Rodentia; Cricetidae. The record is from RNAcentral.
UUAAAUUAACUUCUGUUUCCCUGUAGA